RNAcentral lists this ribosomal RNA (460 nucleotides) under uncultured bacterium. RNAcentral describes it as "partial 16S ribosomal RNA". It matches the Rfam family "Bacterial small subunit ribosomal RNA", at positions 338 to 795 of the family's 1533-position model. The record is from RNAcentral.
CCUACGGGUGGCAGCAGUGAGGAAUAUUGGUCAAUGGCCGGAAGGCUGAACCAGCCAUGCCGCGUGAAGGUCAGUGCCCUAUGGGCGUUAAACUUCUUUUGUGCGGGAGCAAUAAUGGUCACGUGUGGCCAGACGAUAUUACCGUACGAAUAAGCAUCGGCUACCUCCGUGCCAGCAGCCGCGGUAAUACGGGGGAUGCAAGCGUUAUCCGGAUUUAUUGGGGUUAAAGGGUGCGUAGGCUGGGAGGUAAGUCAGCGGUGAAAUGCCCCCGCUCAACGGGGUGAAGUGCCAUUGAUACUGCAUAGCUGGAAUGCGGAUGCGGUGGGAGGAAUGUGAGGUGUAGCGGUGAAAUGCAUAGAUAUCACACAGAACACCGAUUGCGAAGGCAUCUCACGAAUCCGCGAUUGACGCUGAUGCACGAAAGCGUGGGUAUCAAACAGGAUUAGAUACCCCAGUAGUC